UUCUAUCGGUACACACAAUUUUGGCUCGGUAAGCCAAACGGAGGGCAUUUUGGUCAUUUCGUCUUUAGAGAUGAUUUUUGACCAACUUGUCCAUUUAUUUAAGUGAAUUAUAUGACAUAAAAUAUGAAUAAACAUUAAGGAAAAAUUUAUUAAAAAUAAGUAAAUGGAGUAAGGAAGAAAAACAAAAAAAUAAAUAAAUAAUGAAAUAAAAGUCAAGUAAUGACAUAAGCAUGACCUCAUUAAAAACUCACCCACCAAUAAAAAUUUAAUAAACACAUUUUAAGGGAUAAUGAAGACCAAAAUCACUUCAUCUUCUUCAUUUGCUAUGGUGGCCGAAAUUCCUUCAUGAGCUCUCCACCAUUUUUCUUCCUUCCCAACUUGAUUUCUUUAAGUUUUUCACCAUAAAACCUAUCUUUGUCUUCACAAAAAAUCAUCCAUACACCUUGGGCAAGCUAAAGGGAGCAAAAAGAGGUAACAAGGAAGAGUUCUUACAAGCUUGGGAUUAGCUCCAUUAGAGGUACUGGAGACACAGCUGGGGAGUCCAGCAGACCGCACACUGGGUGAGCCUUCAUAUCUGCACUCAGAGUUCAGAGUCACCUCACAUUGCAGUGCAUUUGGUAGGACAUUAGGCCAUCUGGGAUAUAUUUUGAUAUUUUGAUAUUUUGUAUUUUGUAAACUUUUGUUAUGUACAUUAUAAACCCAUGUAAUCAUAUUUUUGCUGUAAUUAUCUAUGAACUGUGUUCAAAAAUAAAAAUGAGUAUUUCUCAUUGAAUUUGGUAUGAUAUGAGAUGAAUGUAAAUUUUGAGAUAUUGAAAUGAAUUGAGAAUAUAUUGGAGGUUGACUGAGAAUAA
Hevea brasiliensis (rubber tree) is the source of this 851-nucleotide long non-coding RNA. RefSeq lists it as uncharacterized. The record is from RefSeq and is a predicted model, not a curated record. NCBI's taxonomy places the organism in Eukaryota, Viridiplantae, Streptophyta, Magnoliopsida, Malpighiales, Euphorbiaceae. The transcript has 2 exons.